CCUACGGGUGGCAGCAGUGAGGAAUAUUGGACAAUGGCCGAGAGGCUGAACCAGCCAAGUCGCGUGAGGGAAGACGGCCCUACGGGUUGUAAACCUCGUUUGUCGGGGAGCAAAGAGAGUCACGUAUGACUCAUUGAGAGUACCCUAAGAAAUAGCAUCGUCUAACUUCGUGCCAUCAGCGGCGGUAAUACUGAGGAUGCGAGCGUUAUCCGGAUUGAUUGGGUUUAAAGGGUGCGCAGGGGGAGGUGCAAGGUAGGGGUAAAAUUGAGGGGCUAAACCCCGAACUGCAGUUGAAACUGCAUCCCUUGAGUGCGCAAGAAGUAUGCGGAAUGCGUGGUGUAGCGGUGAAAUGCAUAGAUAUCACGAAGAACUCCGAUUGCGAAGGCAGCAUACCGGCGCGCAACUGACGCUCAUGCACGAAAGCGUGGGUAUCGAACAGGAUUAGAUACCCGAGUAGUC
This 459-nucleotide ribosomal RNA is filed under the name uncultured bacterium. RNAcentral describes it as "partial 16S ribosomal RNA". It matches the Rfam family "Bacterial small subunit ribosomal RNA", at positions 338 to 795 of the family's 1533-position model. The record is from RNAcentral.